RNAcentral lists this ribosomal RNA (253 nucleotides) under uncultured bacterium. RNAcentral describes it as "partial 16S ribosomal RNA". It matches the Rfam family "Bacterial small subunit ribosomal RNA", at positions 524 to 776 of the family's 1533-position model. The record is from RNAcentral.
UACAGAGGUCUCGAGCGUUAGGCGGAAUCACUGGGCUUAAAGCGUGUGUAGGCGGAUCGGUAAGUACCUUGUGAAAUCCCACAGCUUAACUGUGGAACUGCUUGGUAUACUGCCAGUCUUGAGCCAGCUAGGGGCUACCGGAACAAAUGGUGGAGCGGUGAAAUGCGUAGAUAUCAUUUGGAACGCCAAUGGUGAAAACAGGUAGCUGGGGAUGUGCUGACGCUGAGACACGAAAGCCAGGGGAGCGAACGGG